This 480-nucleotide ribosomal RNA is filed under the name uncultured bacterium. RNAcentral describes it as "partial 16S ribosomal RNA". It matches the Rfam family "Bacterial small subunit ribosomal RNA", at positions 32 to 508 of the family's 1533-position model. The record is from RNAcentral.
AAUCAACGCUGGCGGCGUGCCUAACACAUGCAAGUCGAACGAGAAAGUGGGGGCAACCCUGCGAGUACAGUGGCAGACGGGUGAGUAACACGUGAACGACCUACCCUUGAGUGGGGAAUAACACCGCGAAAGCGGUGCUAAAACCGCAUAAAAUCCUUUUAUCGAAUGGUGAAGGGAUCAAAAGCGCAAGUUGCUUGAGGAGGGGUUCGCGGCUGAUUAGCUAGUUGGUGAGGUAACGGCCCACCAAGGCAACGAUCAGUAGCCGGCCUGAGAGGGCGAACGGCCACACUGGAACUGAGACACGGUCCAGACUCCUACGGGAGGCAGCAGUGGGGAAUUUUGCGCAAUGGGCGAAAGCCUGACGCAGCAACGCCGCGUGGGGGAUGAAGGCCUUCGGGUCGUAAACUCCUGUCGAUGGGGACGAAAGCCUAGCAAUAGGAUUGACUGUACCCGUUGAGGAAGCCACGGCUAACUCCGUGC